RNAcentral lists this ribosomal RNA (432 nucleotides) under uncultured bacterium. RNAcentral describes it as "partial 16S ribosomal RNA". It matches the Rfam family "Bacterial small subunit ribosomal RNA", at positions 29 to 506 of the family's 1533-position model. The record is from RNAcentral.
AACGAACGCUGGCGGCAUGCCUAACACAUGCAAGUCGAACGAGACCUUCGGGUCUAGUGGCGCACGGGUGCGUAACGCGUGGGAACCUGCCCUUAGGUUCGGAAUAACUCCCCGAAAGGGGUGCUAAUACCUGAUAAUGUCUUCGGACCAAAGAUUUAUCGCCUUUGGAUGGGCCCGCGUUGGAUUAGCUAGUUGGUAGGGUAAAAGCCUACCAAGGCGACGAUCCAUAGCUGGUCUGAGAGGAUGAUCAGCCACACUGGGACUGAGACACGGCCCAGACUCCUACGGGAGGCAGCAGUGGGGAAUAUUGGACAAUGGGCGAAAGCCUGAUCCAGCAAUGCCGCGUGAGUGAUGAAGGCCUUAGGGUUGUAAAGCUCUUUUACCCGGGAUGAUAAUGACAGUACCGGGAGAAUAAGCUCCGGCUAACUCCGU